AUGAGAGUUUCUAGUGGGCCAUUUUUGGUAAGCAGAACUGGCGAUGCGGGAUGAACCGAACGCGAGGUUAAGGUGCCGGAAUACACGCUCAUCAGACACCACAAAAGGUGUUAGUUCAUCUAGACAGCAGGACGGUGGCCAUGGAAGUCGGAAUCCGCUAAGGAGUGUGUAACAACUCACCUGCCGAAUGAACUAGCCCUGUAAAUGGUUGGCGCUUAAGCGUAGUACCCAUACUUCACCGCCAGGGUAGAAACGAUGCCCUGGCGAGUAGGCAGGCGUGGAGGU
This 285-nucleotide ribosomal RNA is filed under the name Oxyrrhis marina. RNAcentral describes it as "partial Eukaryotic large subunit ribosomal RNA". It matches the Rfam family "Eukaryotic large subunit ribosomal RNA", at positions 1112 to 1398 of the family's 3401-position model. The record is from RNAcentral. Lineage: Eukaryota; Dinophyceae; Oxyrrhinales; Oxyrrhinaceae.